AAUAUUGCGCAAUGGAGGGAACACUGACGCAGCGACGCCGCGUGAGCGAUGAAGGUUUUCGGAUCGUAAAGCUCUGUCCUUGGGGAAGAAGGCGGCCACUUUUGGCCACUUGACGGUACCCAAGGAGGAAGCCCCGGCUAACUACGUGCCAGCAGCCGCGGUAAUACGUAGGUGGCAAGCGUUGUCCGGAUUUAUUGGGCGUAAAGCGCGCGCAGGCGGUCUUUUAAGUCUGAUGUGAAAUCUUACAGCUUAACUGUAAGCGGUCAUUGGAAACUGGGAGACUUGAGUGCAGAAGAGGAGAGUGGAAUUCCAUGUGUAGCGGUGAAAUGCGUAGAGAUAUGGAGGAACACCAGUGGCGAAGGCGACUCUCUGGUCUGUAACUGACGCUGAGGCGCGAAAGCGUGGGGAUCAAACA
This 415-nucleotide ribosomal RNA is filed under the name uncultured bacterium. RNAcentral describes it as "partial 16S ribosomal RNA". It matches the Rfam family "Bacterial small subunit ribosomal RNA", at positions 360 to 774 of the family's 1533-position model. The record is from RNAcentral.